UACGGAGGGUGCAAGCGUUAUCCGGAUUCACUGGGUUUAAAGGGUGCGUAGGUGGGAAUGUAAGUCAGUGGUGAAAUCUCCGUGCUUAACAUGGAAACUGCCAUUGAUACUAUGUUUCUUGAAUCUUCUGGAGGUCAGCGGAAUAUGUCAUGUAGCGGUGAAAUGCUUAGAUAUGACAUAGAACACCAAUUGCGAAGGCAGCUGACUACAGGGGCAUUGACACUGAGGCACGAAAGCGUGGGGAUCAAACAGG
Molecule: unclassified non-coding RNA, 253 nt
Filed under: uncultured Chitinophagaceae bacterium
Lineage: Bacteria; Pseudomonadati; Bacteroidota; Chitinophagia; Chitinophagales; Chitinophagaceae
Description: contains 16S-23S intergenic spacer region
Rfam family: Bacterial small subunit ribosomal RNA
Source: RNAcentral